UACGUAGGGGGCAAGCGUUGUCCGGAAUCAUUGGGCGUAAAGCGCGUGUAGGCGGUCCGGUAAGUCGGCUGUGAAAGUCCAGGGCUCAACCCUGGGAUGCCGGUCGAUACUGCCGGACUAGAGUUCGGAAGAGGCGAGUGGAAUUCCCGGUGUAGCGGUGAAAUGCGCAGAUAUCGGGAGGAACACCAACGGCGAAGGCAGCUCGCUGGGACGUUACUGACGCUGAGACGCGAAAGCGUGGGGAGCAAACAGG
Molecule: ribosomal RNA, 253 nt
Filed under: uncultured bacterium
Lineage: Bacteria
Description: partial 16S ribosomal RNA
Rfam family: Bacterial small subunit ribosomal RNA
Source: RNAcentral